UACCACUAGGGGUGCAUUUAGCUGAGAUAGCAGAUUUCUGAUGUAUGUACAUCAGAAAGUGCUGAUCCCUUCGACUUGAUCUGGGUAAUUCUAGCGUAAGGAAGUGGUUUAGUAC
RNAcentral lists this non-coding RNA (115 nucleotides) under Candidatus Salinicoccus merdavium. Lineage: Bacteria; Bacillati; Bacillota; Bacilli; Caryophanales; Staphylococcaceae. The record is from RNAcentral.